CUCAAGAAACAAACACUUUCUGUCCCUGAGUGUCACACGUUGGGAUUUUCAGGUUAUAGAGCGAAUGAGUUAAUGAAGUCAGUAGGUUUUUACUUUAAAAUACAGUUUGUGGUUAAAACAAGCCGAAGAUAUUUUCAUAUUUUGUUCUACGGCAUAAAACCUACGCUGCAGGAGUGACCUGGACAUGGAUGCUAAAACAGACUCUUAAACCCACACACUCUUCUGGCCCUUGUACCAGAAAAUCCUCAAGACUCUGAUGAUGAUCUGAGUGAGGUUGAUGACCAAAUAGAUGAUCCUGAUUAUAGAUGAAUUACAACAACUUUGGACAUUGACCACUGCACUGUGACAAGCGAGGGCGAUGCAACCUCUGUCCAAAGGGUGUGUCAAGAUGGAAAUGCCAGAAAUGCAAUGUUUUCCUGUGUUUGAACACAAACCAGGAAUGCUUUGUAGCAUACCACCAGAAAUAAAAUGGAUCUAAUGCUCCAAAAGCAUGUGUGCUGUUGCACCACCACACAGUGGAGCUGUUGUGAUGAAAAUGUUAGAAAUGUAAUGUUUGUGUUUUUAUGUGUUUUGCAAAGUUAUGCUGUGUUUGCAUUUUUAAAUACUGCAUAGUAUGCCACCAGAAAUGUGGAUCGAUGGAUUAUUUGCAGAAGUGCAAUUCUUUUCCUGUAUAUUGCAAUAUUUUGUUAAAGUGAAAAUGUUUUGUGGCAUAUUACCACAAAUAAAGUGGGUCUAAUGUCUAAAAA
Dicentrarchus labrax (European seabass) is the source of this 746-nucleotide long non-coding RNA. RefSeq lists it as uncharacterized. The transcript has 3 exons. Lineage: Eukaryota; Metazoa; Chordata; Actinopteri; Moronidae. The record is from RefSeq and is a predicted model, not a curated record.